ACGGGAGGCAGCAGUAGGGAAUCUUCCACAAUGGGCGAAAGCCUGAUGGAGCAACGCCGCGUGAGUGAAGAAGGAUUUCGGUUCGUAAAAUUCUGUUGUAAGGGAAGAACAAGUACAGUAGUAACUGGCUGUACCUUGACGGUACCUUAUUAGAAAGCCACGGCUAACUACGUGCCAGCAGCCGCGGUAAUACGUAGGUGGCAAGCGUUGUCCGGAAUUAUUGGGCGUAAAGUGCGCGCAGGUGGUUUCUUAAGUCUGAUGUGAAAGCCCACGGCUCAACCGUGGAGGGUCAUUGGAAACUGGGAGACUUGAGUGCAGAAGAGGAUAGUGGAAUUCCAAGUGUAGCGGUGAAAUGCGUAGAGAUUUGGAGGAACACCAGUGGCGAAGGCGACUAUCUGGUCUGUAACUGACACUGAGGCGCGAAAGCGUGGGGAGCAAACAGGAUUAGAUACCCUGGUAGUCCACGCCGUAAACGAUGAGUGCUAAGUGUUAGGGGGUUUCCGCCCCUUAGUGCUGCAGCUAACGCAUUAAGCACUCCGCCUGGGGAGUACGGUCGCAAGACUGAAACUCAAAGGAAUUGAC
Molecule: ribosomal RNA, 582 nt
Filed under: uncultured bacterium
Lineage: Bacteria
Description: bacterial SSU rRNA
Rfam family: Bacterial small subunit ribosomal RNA
Source: RNAcentral